UGUGUGUGUGUGUGUGUGUGUGUGUGUGUGUGUGUGUGUGUGUGUCAGCCAUAGGGUAUGUGUGUGUGUCAGCUUUGGGAGGAGUGUGUGUCUGUGUGUCAGCUUUGGGAGGAGUGUGUGUGUCGGCUUUGGGAGGAGUGUGUGUGUGUGUAUGUCGGCUUUGGGAGGAGUGUGUGUGUGAGUGUGUGUGUGUGUAUGUCAGCUUUGGGAGGAGUGUGUGUGUGUGUGUGUGUGUGUGUGUGUGUAUGUCAGCCAACUUUGGGAGGAGUGUGUGUGUGUGUGUGUGUGUGUAUGUCGGCUUUGGGAGGAGUGUGUGUGUGUGUGUGUGUGUGUGUGUGUGUGUGUGUGUGUGUGUGUAUGUCAGCUUUGGGAGGAGUGUGAGUGUGUGUGUGUGUAUGUCAGCUUUGGGAGGAGUGUGUGUGUGUGUGUGUGUGUGUGUGUGUAUGUCAGCCAACUUUGGGAGGAGUGUGUGUGUGUGUGUGUGUGUGUAUGUCGGCUUUGGGAGGAGUGUGUGUGUGUGUGUGUGUGUGUGUGUGUGUGUGUGUGUGUGUGUGUGUGUGUGUAUGUCAGCCAACUUUGGGAGGAGUGUGUGUGUGUAUGUCAGCCAACUUUGGGAGGUGUGUGUGUGUGUGUGUGUGUGUGUGUGUGUGUCAGCCAUAGGGUGUUCAUUUGUAUAUCAGCUUUUGGGGGGGGGGGGGAGUCAGCCAUAGGGGGUGUGCAUAUGUGUCAGCUGCAGAG
Molecule: long non-coding RNA, 738 nt
Organism: Brienomyrus brachyistius
Lineage: Eukaryota; Metazoa; Chordata; Actinopteri; Osteoglossiformes; Mormyridae
Exons: 3
Source: RefSeq, a predicted model, not a curated record